AGGGAAUCUUCCGCAAUGGACGAAAGUCUGACGGAGCAACGCCGCGUGAGUGAAGAAGGCCUUCGGGUCGUAAAGCUCUGUUGUCAGGGAAGAACAAGUGCCGGAGUCACUGCCGGCACCUUGACGGUACCUGACCAGAAAGCCACGGCUAACUACGUGCCAGCAGCCGCGGUAAUACGUAGGUGGCAAGCGUUGUCCGGAAUUAUUGGGCGUAAAGCGCGCGCAGGCGGUCCUUUAAGUCUGAUGUGAAAUCCCGCGGCUCAACCGCGGGCGGCCAUUGGAAACUGGGGGACUUGAGUGCAGAAGAGGAAAGCGGAAUUCCACGUGUAGCGGUGAAAUGCGUAGAGAUGUGGAGGAACACCAGUGGCGAAGGCGGCUUUCUGGUCUGUAACUGACGCUGAGGCGCGAAAGCGUGGGGAGCAAAC
This 425-nucleotide ribosomal RNA is filed under the name uncultured bacterium. RNAcentral's name for it is "bacterial SSU rRNA". It matches the Rfam family "Bacterial small subunit ribosomal RNA", at positions 356 to 773 of the family's 1533-position model. The record is from RNAcentral.